Molecule: ribosomal RNA, 497 nt
Filed under: uncultured bacterium
Lineage: Bacteria
Description: partial 16S ribosomal RNA
Rfam family: Bacterial small subunit ribosomal RNA
Source: RNAcentral
GAUGAACGCUGGCGGCGUGCCUAAUACAUGCAAGUCGAGCGAACAGAUGAGGAGCUUGCUCCUCUGACGUUAGCGGCGGACGGGUGAGUAACACGUGGAUAACCUACCUAUAAGACUGGGAUAACUUCGGGAAACCGGAGCUAAUACCGGAUCAUAUAUUGAACCGCAUGGUUCAAUAGUGAAAGACGGUUUUGCUGUCACUUAUAGAUGGAUUCGCGCCGCAUUAGCUAGUUGGUAAGGUAACGGCUUACCAAGGCAACGAUGCGUAGCCGACCUGAGAGGGUGAUCAGCCACACUGGAACUGAGACACGGUCCAGACUCCUACGGGAGGCAGCAGUAGGGAAUCUUCCGCAAUGGGCGAAAGCCUGACGGAGCAACGCCGCGUGAGUGAUGAAGGUCUUCGGAUCGUAAAACUCUGUUAUUAGGGAAGAACAAAUGUGUAAGUAACUAUGCACGUCUUGACGGUACCUAAUCAGAAAGCCACGGCUAACUACGUG